AGUGACACUGUUCAACGGCCGCGGUAUCCUAACCGUGCGAAGGUAGCGUAAUCACUUGUCCUUUAAAUGGGGACUAGUAUGAACGGCACCACGAGGGUUAUACUGUCUCCUCUUUCCAAUCAGUGAAACUAAUCKUCSCGUGAAGAAGCGGGAAUAUAUCUAUGAGACGAGAAGACCCUAUGGAGCUUUAAACGAGACAACAUUUGCUAUUACACACACCCAUCCCAGGAAAUCAAUCCUAUUAAGCUCUAUGAUUGCCAGUUUUAGGUUGGGGUGACCGCGGAGUAAAAAAUAACCGCCACAAUGAAUGGGGACCUCCCCUAAACWAAAAGCCACAACUUUAUGUAUCAAUAAAUUGACAUCAAUUGACCCAAUAUUUUGAUCAACGAAACAAGUUACCCUAGGGAUAACAGCGCAUUCCACUUCAAGAGCCCAUAUCGACAAGCGGGUUUACGACCUCGAUGUUGGAUCAAGGUACCCCAGUGGUGCAGCCGCUACUAAA
This 502-nucleotide ribosomal RNA is filed under the name Gastrotheca sp. 1 DR-2018. Its description in RNAcentral is "partial small subunit ribosomal RNA". It matches the Rfam family "Bacterial large subunit ribosomal RNA", at positions 1913 to 2569 of the family's 2925-position model. The record is from RNAcentral. Lineage: Eukaryota; Metazoa; Chordata; Amphibia; Anura; Hemiphractidae.